RNAcentral lists this ribosomal RNA (47 nucleotides) under Tetrahymena sp. DLTH120-07. RNAcentral's name for it is "partial large subunit ribosomal RNA". The record is from RNAcentral. Lineage: Eukaryota; Ciliophora; Oligohymenophorea; Hymenostomatida; Tetrahymenidae.
CUACACCUGAAUAAGCAGAUUACCCGCUGAACUUAAGCAUAUCCCUA